GCCGCCGUAGCACAAAGGUAGUGCGUUGCCUUCCUAUUAUUCUUGAUGGGGCUCGAACCCACCACGAUUACGUAAUGAGGCAAAGGUUGUGGGUUCGAGCCCCAUCGGCGGUU
Molecule: non-coding RNA, 113 nt
Organism: Mycena galericulata
Lineage: Eukaryota; Fungi; Basidiomycota; Agaricomycetes; Agaricales; Mycenaceae
Source: the annotation of a GenBank genome assembly